This 467-nucleotide long non-coding RNA is filed under the name Homo sapiens (human). RNAcentral's name for it is "HSALNT0308723". The record is from RNAcentral. Lineage: Eukaryota; Metazoa; Chordata; Mammalia; Primates; Hominidae.
CCUGGCUGUGUAUCACAUCCUUCUGGUUAGGGGCAUUGCUGCAGGAAUCUGUUUAUUCUCAAUUCAAGCCAAUAUGUACUGAUUGCUCUGACCUCCUCUCGUAAACAGGCAUUCUACUGGAACGUGUAAGAUAAUUUUUGCCAUCUGUCAUUUUCUUCUUCUUGAGAAAGGAGGAGAAUUACUGAGAAACAAGAAAAUGUCUCUUUUACCCAUUUCCAGUGAGAGAACUUUACUACGAAAGAGAAAAAAUUAGUUUGGACACAGCAAUAACCUUAGCAAUUAUUCAUACAGAAAGGAUUGGCACCAUGAUUUCUUAGAAGUUCCAAUGGAGUCCCAGUAUGAUAAGGUUGUUCUUUCAGAAAUGGGGGACUGGCGUCAAGUACCUGCAGGCAAGUGACUGUUUUGCUUCAAUUUUCUGUCUCUGUAAACUUGUCUUUGAUCAGUUAUAUUGGAAGAAGUGAGGUAGU